Molecule: ribosomal RNA, 2091 nt
Filed under: Triticum aestivum (bread wheat)
Lineage: Eukaryota; Viridiplantae; Streptophyta; Magnoliopsida; Poales; Poaceae
Description: partial small subunit ribosomal RNA
Source: RNAcentral
AUGACAUUCUCUAUGGAUUUGAACGCAUCACCAUUGCCUGAAGAAGAGGAUGAGCAGCCUUAUGAAGAACCACCUGGUGAGGCUGAUUAUGCGCAUGAGGAGGAACAUGUUGAGUCUGCUGUUGCAACAUUGCGAAGGGAGCGUGAAGAGAGGCGGAGGAAAUUGAAGAGAGAGCACCAGGAUGAAGGCUCAAUGCAACACCCUCAGCAGAUAAGGAAUGAUUAUGCACCUCCAACCAAAGUUGGUAGAGGCCGGAUUAAAGAGGCACCUGAGGGUUGGUUGGAUUGUCCUGCAUUUGGUGAGCCAAUAGAUAAAAUCAUACCCUCCAAAGUUCCUCUUGAUGAAACAUUCAAUGAAUCAGUUCCUCCUGGCAAAAGAUAUUCUUCCAAACAAGUAGUAAACAAGCAAAGAAAAGCUGGCCGUGAAAUAGGACUGGUGAUUGAUCUGACUAAUACUUCUCGAUAUUACUCACCAGCAGAGUGGACAAAGCAAGGUACUAAGCAUCUCAAGAUUCCUUGCAAGGGAAGAGAUGCUGUACCAGAUAAUGAAUCUGUUAACACAUUUGUCUAUGAGGUGAUGAUGUAUCUUGAACGACAAAAGCAUACCAAAACUCCCAAGUAUAUUCUAGUUCACUGUACCCAUGGUCAUAAUCGUACAGGUUUCAUGAUUAUUCAUUACCUCGUGCGUACACGCAUCUCUUGUGUUGCUGAGGCAAUACGUAUUUUUGCUCAAAGGCGACCUCCUGGUAUAUAUAAGAGGGACUACAUUGAAGCAUUGUAUUCAUUUUAUCACGAGGUUCCUGAGAAUAUAAUUGUAGCAUGCCCUUCAACACCAGAAUGGAAGAGGCCUUCCGAUCUUGAUCUAAAUGGUGAAGCUAAGCCAGAUGACGAUGAUGACAACGGUGAUGUUUCACCAGUACAUACAUCCUCUUGUAUCUUGCAGAAUGAUGUAGAGGAGAAAGUCAUCACUAAUGAUGAUGUGCUGGGAGACGCUGUACCUUUUGAUCAGCAAGAGGCUCUGCGGAUCGUAUGCUAUCGUUUGCUUGAACUUCCCCCUGCGAGAGGGCAUGCACAAUUUCCAGGAUCACACCCAGUCUCUCUUGACAGUGAUAAUCUGCAGCUACUUAGACAGCGAUACUAUUAUGCUACUUGGAAAGCUGACGGAACCCGAUAUAUGAUGCUUAUAAUGAGGGAUGGUUGUUUCUUGAUUGAUCGGAAUUUUUGCUUUAGAAGAGUUCAGAUGCGCUUUCCCCAUAGGAACCUGAAUGAAGGUCCACAUGAUAUGACAUUGAUUGACGGGGAAAUGAUUAUAGAUACAGUACCUGAUUCAGGAUUGAAGAGGAGGUACUUGGCGUAUGAUCUGAUGGCACUUGAUUCAGUGUCCAAGACAAAGUUGCCUUUCUCUGAGAGGUGGAGAUUAAUUGAAGAUGAAAUAAUCCGGCCACGUCAUAACGAGAGAAAAAUGUUUGAGAGUGGUGCUAAGAGCAAUCCAAUGUACAAAUAUGAUAUGGAGCUAUUUUCGGCCCGGAGAAAGGAUUUCUGGCUUCUGCAUACAGCAAAAAGGGUACUGAAGGAGUUUAUCCCAUCACUUUGCCAUGAUGCUGAUGGCCUGAUAUUUCAGGGCUGGGAUGAUCCUUAUGUAACUCGCACCCAUGAAGGUCUUCUUAAGUGGAAAUACCCUGAAAUGAAUUCAGUUGACUUUUUGUUUGAGGUUGGCAAUGAUAAUCGCCAGCUCGUUUUUCUUUACGAGAGAGGCAAAAAGAAACUCAUGGAUGGUUCUCGGAUGGUAUUUCCAAAUGGAGAAGAUCCAUCAUCUAUCUCUGGGAGGAUUGUUGAGUGCUCUUGGAAUAAGGAACAACAGUGUUGGGUCUGCAUACGCGUUAGAUUCGAUAAAUCGACUCCUAAUGAUAUCAACACAUAUCGCAAGGUAAUGAGGAGCAUCACAGACAAUAUAACCGAAGACAAGCUUCUAGAAGAGAUCACUGAGAUAAUUUCCCUCCCGAUGUAUGCUGAUAGGAAGAAGGCUGAUGAAAGGAUGGCCCAUGCAAAGAUGGCACAACAUCGGCGGAGAGGGCAGAUGCCACCACAGUAG